Molecule: ribosomal RNA, 492 nt
Filed under: uncultured bacterium
Lineage: Bacteria
Description: partial 16S ribosomal RNA
Rfam family: Bacterial small subunit ribosomal RNA
Source: RNAcentral
AGUGAACGCUGGCGGUAGGCCUAACACAUGCAAGUCGAACGACAACACAGUAAGCGUUUGCUCUUACGGGUGGCGACUGGCGGAUGGGUAAGGAAUACAUCGGAUUCUAAUCUUUCGUGGGGGAUUACGUAGGAAAACUUAUGCUACUACCUCAUACUACGUACGGCUUAAGUCAGUGGUUCAUCGGACCUUGCGCGAUUCUAUGAGAUGAUCCAGGAUUAGCUAGUUGGCGAGGUAAAGGUCCACCAAGGCGACGAUCCGUAGCUGAUGUGACAGGAUGAUUGGCCACACUGGAACUGAGAGACGGUCCAGACUCCUACGGGAGGCAGCAGUAGGGAAUAUUGAACAAUGGGCGCAAGCCUGACCCAGCCAUACCGCGUGAGUGAAGAAGGUCUUCGGGUCGUAGAGCACUGUUGUUAGGAAAGAAAAACAGUAGUUUUAACCCCGCCUGUUCUGACGGUACCCAAACAAUAAGCAACGGCUAACUUCGUG